UACGUCGUGACUGCAGAGAUUGGUCGAGG
RNAcentral lists this small RNA (29 nucleotides) under Bombyx mori (domestic silkworm). Its description in RNAcentral is "ovarian small RNA-21174". Lineage: Eukaryota; Metazoa; Arthropoda; Insecta; Lepidoptera; Bombycidae. The record is from RNAcentral.